RNAcentral lists this ribosomal RNA (395 nucleotides) under uncultured bacterium. RNAcentral describes it as "bacterial SSU rRNA". It matches the Rfam family "Bacterial small subunit ribosomal RNA", at positions 28 to 417 of the family's 1533-position model. The record is from RNAcentral.
GACGAACGCUGGCGGCGCGCUUAACACAUGCAAGUCGAGCGAGAACCUAGGCUCGGCCUAGGGGACAGCGGCGAACGGGUGAGUAACACGUGGGUAAUCUGCCCUCGGCAUCAGGAUAGCCCGGGGAAACCCGGAUUAAUACCGAAUGGCCCAUCCGCUUUUCGGAGCGGCUGGAAAAGGUAGCUUUGGCCUCCGGCCGAGGACGAGCCCGCGGCGGAUUAGCUUGUUGGUGGGGUAAUGGCUCACCAAGGCGACGAUCCGUAGCUGGUCUGAGAGGACGAUCAGCCACACUGGGACUGAGACACGGCCCAGACUCCUACGGGAGGCAGCAGUGGGGAAUCUUGCGCAAUGGGCGAAAGCCUGACGCAGCGACGCCGCGUGCGGGAAGAAGGCCU